CCCUUAGAUGUUCUGGGCCGCACGCGCGCUACACUGGUCGAUGCAACGAGUUUCUUUCCUUGGCCGACAGGCCUGGGCAAUCUUUGAACAUCGAUCGUGAUCGGGAUAGAUUCUUGUAAUUUUUGAUCUUAAACGAGGAAUUCCUAGUAAACGCAAGUCAUCAGCUUGCAUUGAUUACGUCCCUGCCCUUUGUACACACCGCCCGUCGCACCUACCGAUUGAAUGGUCCGGUGAAAUCUCCGGACUGGCGUGAGUCGGAGCAAUCUGACAAACGCCGGAAAGUUGAUUAAACCUUACCAUUUAGAGGAAGGUGAAGUCGUAACA
This 324-nucleotide ribosomal RNA is filed under the name uncultured eukaryote. RNAcentral's name for it is "partial 18S ribosomal RNA". It matches the Rfam family "Eukaryotic small subunit ribosomal RNA", at positions 1470 to 1796 of the family's 1831-position model. The record is from RNAcentral.